Molecule: long non-coding RNA, 1625 nt
Organism: Fukomys damarensis (Damara mole-rat)
Lineage: Eukaryota; Metazoa; Chordata; Mammalia; Rodentia; Bathyergidae
Source: Ensembl
CACUGCGACCCCGAGACCGGCUCCCUCCACUACGUCUCAGGAUCCGGUUCCCCUGCCGGACACAGAAUAUGUAUUCCAGGACAAGCGGAGUUUUCUGAGUCCCACCUCACGGAGGGGCGUGGUGCGCGGAAUCUCUAAAGGAAGACCUGGAAGGCUGCCGUCCGGCUUCCGCUUCCGGUUAGAGAGCAAGGGCUCUGGGCUUGAGCGCACUCACUGCGUGUGAGCACACAUGUUCUAGCCGGUCGUGAGGCUCUAACUGAACAUGAGAAAGGCCCCAAGCCUGUGGAGGGAGAGAAAGAAAGAGAGGAAAAAGGGAGGAAAAAAAAAAAGACAAACCGUGGUUCCAAGGCAGAGAGAGGGGAGAAAACUACACUUCUGAGGGCCGGGGGGGGGGGUGGGGAAAUGGAGAAAGAGAAGAAAAAAGAAAAGAAAAGAAGCCUUUCGGCUGGACUUACUAAAGCCGCCCUCGCCACGCCUCUCUGCCUCCUGCCCCUGCCUCACAGAGAUGACAGGAGGCUGAAGCGAGGAACUUAACCCAGCCUCUCGAAGUAGGCUCACCGCCUCCUGUUGCAGAAAAAGAGUUCAGGGUGCGGCAGCAGGCCCGGAAGGGUUCCUUAGGCAGGUGCGGGCCGCACUCGGAGAAGCCAGAUGCGGGUCAGGUGUGAAGUGGGCGCACCGGUGCCUCCCUGAAGGGGUGGAAGAGGCCCCUAGAGUGCCCCACACCCCCAGAAGGGCAUUAGCCCAUUUUACAGGACCCUGCGGAACUGGAUCUGGCUGGAAUGCAGACUCCUCUGUAAGCUUUGCAAUAAGACGAAAGUCAUCCCUGCAUGCUGAUGGCCCGAGGCCAACUGGGAUCCCUGACAAUGGACCUGGUCCAUCCUCGGCAGGGUCAGUGAGUGUUUUUGGGCAGUGAUUUUCUCCAGAUCACUGUGGUCACUGGGGUGUGGGCGAGGGGCACAGUGUUCCAUCCUGUAAUGGGUAUAGAACCAUAGCGAGGGGACGCAUGCCCUCUGCCAGAGCCAGGUGGGUGGCAUGAGGAGAAACAAGUGCCACUUAUUAAAGGUCGGUGGUGUGCCACGCAUUGUGCCAGCGGCUCCUGUGGCAGAUGAAGAAACUUAGUCUCAGAAGCUCCACAGCUCACAGCAGGACACACAGCCAGGACAUGGUGGCAUCAGGCAACAUGAACAAAAGCAAGCUCAAGUUGCUUUCACUGCGUGAUGCUAAGUCCCGGACCAGACUAUGGCCAUACUGUGGCCUGGAUACUGUUCUGGAGAAAUAAUAUUCUUGAGUAGGAGCUAGAUUGUGCCUUUAGCUUUUCCGAAGGCUUGGAAAUAAUUUAUCUUCUCUGGAAAGGCACCCAGUGCACUUAUAUGUGGAGAUGAUAGUCCCUUUGCUUGGCAGGGUAACUAAUAUGCAAUAGGAAAGUUCUUUGCUCUUCCAGUUUUAUUAUAAUAAUCAUAUCUGAAUAAUAUGACUAUUGUGAGCAUUAAAUGAGAUUUGCAUUCAUUGAAUGCAUACAGUCAAAACUCUGUAUAGUACCUAUUAUUUUUAUUGUUGUGACAGGACUUGAACUCAGAACCUUGCACUUUUGAGGCAGAUGGUGGCACCACUGAGCUAAAUCCCUG